CACCAAUCAAGCCUGGCUUGGUAUUGGGUGUUUGUCUCGCCUCUGCGUGUAGACUCGCCUCAAAACAAUUGGCAGCCGGCGUAUUGAUUUCGGAGCGCAGUACAUCUCGCGCUUUGCACUCAUAACGACGACGAUCCAAAAGUACAUUUUUACAC
This 155-nucleotide unclassified non-coding RNA is filed under the name uncultured Dothideomycetes. RNAcentral describes it as "sequence contains ITS2". The record is from RNAcentral. Lineage: Eukaryota; Fungi; Ascomycota; Dothideomycetes.